This 360-nucleotide long non-coding RNA is filed under the name Pan troglodytes (chimpanzee). RNAcentral describes it as "long non-coding RNA NONPTRT014336". The record is from RNAcentral. Lineage: Eukaryota; Metazoa; Chordata; Mammalia; Primates; Hominidae.
GGGGCUUGGUGAUGUCAUUAAGUCUUCAUCUUGCUCCUUCUUUGGAAGGCCAAGGUGGGCGGAUGAUGAGGUCAAGAGAUAGAGACCAUCCUGGCCAACAUGGUGAAACCGUAUUUUCUUUGGUUUGAAGGUAAGGGCUUUUGCUGGUUUACUUAGUGGGCCUUCCAAGAUGGUUUUCUGAAGAUGUUUGUGUCAUCCUAGAGUCAUGCCAUGGACCAGAGUGAGAAAAGCCAUCCUUUAAGGAAAUCAGACCAACCUUUGUUGAACAGCACUGGACCAUUAGAGAUAAUGGUGAAAUCUGGGACCAACUGAAUCCCUCACUGCAAGAAAGGAGGCAUGUAGGGAGAAAGGGUUGUAUGU